UACGGAGGGUGCAAGCGUUAUCCGGAUUCACUGGGUUUAAAGGGUGCGUAGGCGGGUAGGUAAGUCAGUGGUGAAAUCCUGGAGCUCAACUCCAGAACUGCCAUUGAUACUAUCUAUCUUGAAUAUUGUGGAGGUAAGCGGAAUAUGUCAUGUAGCGGUGAAAUGCUUAGAUAUGACAUAGAACACCCAUUGCGAAGGCAGCUUACUACGCAUAUAUUGACGCUGAGGCACGAAAGCGUGGGGAUCAAACAGGAUUAGAUACCCUGGUAGUCCACGCCCUAAACUAUGGAUACUCGACAUAUGCGAUACACUGUAUGUGUCUGAGCGAAAGCAUUAAGUAUCCCACCUGGGAAGUACGUUCGCAAGAAUGAAACUCAAAGGAAUUGGCGGGGGUCCGCACAAGCGGUGGAGUAUGUGGUUUAAUUCGAUGAUACGCGAGGAACCUUACCUGGGCUAGAAUGCUGGGAGACCGCUAGUGAAAGCUAGUUUUGUAGCAAUACACUGCCAGUAAGGUGCUGCAUGGCCGUCGUCAGCUCGUGCCGUGAGGUGUUGGGUUAAGUCCCGCAACGAGCGCAACCCCUAUCUUUAGUUGCCAACAGGUAAUGCUGGGAACUCUAAAGAAACUGCCGCCGUAAGGUGUGAGGAAGGAGGGGAUGAUGUCAGGUCAUCAUGGCCUUUAUGCCCAGGGCUACACACGUACUACAAUGGGGGAGACAAAGGGCUGCAACAUAGCGAUAUGAAGCCAAUCCCAAAAACUCCCUCUCAGUUCAGAUUGCAGGCUGCAACUCGCCUGCAUGAAGCUGGAAUCGCUAGUAAUCGGAUAUCAGCCAUGAUCCGGUGAAUACGUUCCCGGGCCU
Molecule: ribosomal RNA, 857 nt
Filed under: uncultured bacterium
Lineage: Bacteria
Description: SSU rRNA
Rfam family: Bacterial small subunit ribosomal RNA
Source: RNAcentral